Lycium ferocissimum is the source of this 807-nucleotide long non-coding RNA. RefSeq lists it as uncharacterized. The transcript is spliced from 3 exons. The record is from RefSeq and is a predicted model, not a curated record. Lineage: Eukaryota; Viridiplantae; Streptophyta; Magnoliopsida; Solanales; Solanaceae.
CACACAAUUCAGCCGCAACAAAAAAAUGAAACAAAAGACCUAGAAUAUAGGAACCUACAGCCACCAUAACCAAAACACAAAAAUAUGAGCCACAGGAGCACUUUCUUUUUAAUUUUUAGUAGCUAAAAACUUGUACUCAAGAACCAUAAUCAAACUAAGAAACUCAUUACACCAAAAAAAACCUAUAAGCAACUAGACUGUACAGAUUAAACAGCUGCCAUCCACACAAAGAACGUAACGUAUCUAGAUUAACAGCAACGCACAGCUCAUCGUCCUCACUAUUUUCAAUCAAAACCAUGCAUUAAACAUCAAUCUCCUUCCGCAAAAACUAUAACAAUAGCCAUUCGAAUAGUUAAAAUAGGAAACCGAAUCUACCUGCAAUGUUUGAUUUUGAAAUAGAGAGUCCGACGGUGGUUUCGAGGUUUUCCGUGAGUUUUCUAGUUAAGCUCCGGUCGAAGUUUCUUGUUUAGUCGAGUUGGGCUAUCUCUCAUUUCAAGUUGCUGUACUUAUCCUUGAGAUUCAUUAAUUAAAAAAAAGAAGCUUUACUCUAAGUGCAGCUUUUGAGCCCGAGACAUCUUCCAAACCUCGCAUCUAGUAGAGGUUAUUCGUUACCAAGAUCAUAGGGUGAGCUCCUAUCCGUGCCAUGCCAUCCGAAGAUCUUUCUUAAUUUCAGAUGUCUAUUUUCAUCCCAGACAUUAUGUUCAUUUUAGACAGUUAUCUCUUCUCUUUAGACAAUUUUGGUUAGAGUCCUUGUACGAUGACUUUCGGAUUUUGGGAAUGUAAUAGCUAGAUUUUCCACACUUGUUA